RNAcentral lists this ribosomal RNA (253 nucleotides) under uncultured bacterium. RNAcentral describes it as "partial 16S ribosomal RNA". It matches the Rfam family "Bacterial small subunit ribosomal RNA", at positions 524 to 777 of the family's 1533-position model. The record is from RNAcentral.
UACGAAGGGGGCUAGCGUUGCUCGGAAUCACUGGGCGUAAAGCGCACGUAGGCGGCUUUUUAAGUCAGGGGUGAAAUCCUGGAGCUCAACUCCAGAACUGCCUUUGAUACUGAGAGCUUGAGUCCGGGAGAGGUGAGUGGAACUGCGAGUGUAGAGGUGAAAUUCGUAGAUAUUCGCAAGAACACCAGUGGCGAAGGCGGCUCACUGGCCCGGUACUGACGCUGAGGUGCGAAAGCGUGGGGAGCAAACAGGG